UAAUCAAAAUUGAGUUGGGAAAUGUUUUUAUGAGUUCCCAACAUACAAACUGACUCAACGUUUCUCGUAUCCAAGUAACAACAUGUAUUUGAAAAAUAUUUCAAAUCUGUAACAAAGUUAACAACAUAUGUAUAAACAAAUACGUUUGACGUAUUUUUAAGUAUAGAAUAACUAUUUAAGAGCUAGAUUUCAGCCAAAUUCUGUCCGCUUUUGUAAAAUUCUAGUUUGAUGUGAUUUCGGCACUGUUGCAUUUAAGCCAUGAAAACUCUGGGUUAGUAGUUCUAAUCCAAAAUAUUGUUCACAUCGUUCAUUUUACUUGUUAUGAAGCGGUACUGGUUGAUGGAAGAUUAUUAUUAAUAUUAUUACCGUCUUUAUUAAAGAGGUUUUCAGCCCUUGGCUGAUGGAAGAUAGUUUUUUAAUAUUUUUUUGAGUUUAGGUGUGAUUUGAAAAACAUGUACCUUUGCGGGUAAAUUGGUCAUGUCGCCUGGGGUAAAGUGAGCAAUGUUCAGACAGAGAAAUGGAGACAAACUAGCUCAAAUAUUAAUCUCAAUCGGUUCGGUUGAUAGUGGUACGUCAAAAUCGUCAUCGGCGACAUAAACGCAUAGGUAGGAAGGAGGAGGAAAUGUAUAGGCCGGUCGUCGGACAGGAUAGUCUGCACACCGUAUCGGAUAAUAACGGCCAACGAUGCAUAAACUUCGCAGCCUCCCGCGGAAUGGUUGUCCGAAGCACCUUCUUUCCCCGCAAAAACAUAUCCACAAGACGGUAGACUAGCCUAAGGAUACGCGCAGCAGCUGAAAGUGGCACUCCCAACAAAAGAGCAACUAGGCGCAGCGUGUCUUGAAGAUGGCUGGAGAGAUAUUCGAUCCGCCAUUCGUAGCACCGCAACCACUGUACUUUGCACGGUGCCCCCGGGUCAGGGAAACUCGAUUUUCCAGAGGAAGCGCCAGCAGGAAGAUCAAGACGGAGCAACUGUACCGCGCUAAUAACACACGAAAGUUCUAUGAGAAGUUGAACCGUUCACUUAAGAGCCACGUGUCACCGGCUGAUAUGUGUAAGAACAUAAACGGGAACCUUCUUACAAACAAGCGUGAGGUGAUCCAAAGGUGGCGGCAGCACUACGAAGAACACCUGAAUGGCGAUGUGACAGACGAAGAUGGCGGUAUGGUGAUGAGCCUGGGAGAACGCGCGCAGGACAUAAUUUUACCGGCUCCGGAUCUCCAGGAAAUCCAGGAGGAGAUUGGCCGGCUGAAGAACAACAAAGCCCCUGGGGUUGACCAACGACCAGGAGAGUUAUUUAAACACGGUGGUGAGGCACCAGCUAGAGUGGUGCACUGGGUCAUUACCAAGAUUUGGGAGAAGGAAGUUCUGCCGCAGGAGUGGAUGGAAGGUGUCGUGUGUCCCAUCUACAAAAAAGGCGAUAAGCUGGAUUGCAGCAACUACCCCGCAAUCAUAUUGUUGAAGGCCGCCUACAAGGUACUCUCCCAAAUUUUAUGCCGUCGACUAGCAUCACUUGCAAGAGAAUUCGUGGGGCAGUACCAGGCGGGUUUUAUGGGCGAACGCUCCACCACGAAUCAGCUGUUUGCCAUUCGCCAUGUACUGCAGAAUUGUCGCGAAUACAAUGGAGCAAGCCUACAUAAGACUGAAGAGGGAAGCUAAGCGGAUCGGACUUGUCAUCAACACGUCAAAGACGAAGUACAUGAUAGAAAGAGGCUCAAGAGAAGACAAUGUGAUCCACCUACCGCGAGUUUGCAUCGAUGGUGACGAAAUAGAGGUGGUAGAAGAAUUUGUGUACUUCGGCUCACUGGUGACUGCUGAAAAUGAUACCAGCAGAGAAAUUCGGAGACGCUUAGUGGCUGGAAAUCGUACGUACUUUGGACUCCGCUGACAAUCUACAUAACAUCAUUAUAUUGGUAGUCCUCUACGGACACGAGACCUGAACGAUGCUCGUGGAGGACAAACGCGCACUUGGAUUUUUCGAAAGAAAAGUGCUGCGUACCAUCUAUGGUGGGCUACAGAUGGCGGACGGUACGUGGAGGAGGCGAAUGAACCACGAGUUGCAUGAGCUGCUGGGAGAACCAUCCAUCGUUCACAUCGUGAAAAUCGGACGACUGCGGUGGGCCGGGUACGUAGCCAGAAUGUUGGACAGUAACCCGGUGAAAAUGGUUCUCGACAACGAUCCAACGGACACAAGAAGGUGAAGUGCACAGCGGGCAAGGUAGAUCGAUCAGGUGGAAGAUGGCUUGCGAACCCUUCGUAGACUGUUUGGAUGGCAACGUGUAGCCAUGGACCGAGCUGAAUGGAGAAGACUCUUAUGUACUGCACAGGCCACUUUGGCCUUAGUCUGAAUAAAUAAUAAGAAAUAUGCAGGAAGGUGUCCGCUACUACAUCUACUAAAUACUUUUGUGAUAAAUUAAACGUAAAACUAUCUUGGACUUUAACUUUGAUGGAUUUAGUUAACUUCUGCAUCUACAGCUUUUACGCGCUGAUUACUUUCCAUUUUUUUCUGUGUACGCCCAGAGAAGUCGAGGAAUAUACAUUUCGAACUCGAACGGCAAUAGAAACACCACCUCAGGUUGUCGUGCUUUUACCGACUAGAUUAUCUGAUAUCUCAAUUGUGCAAACUUGAAUAAAAGCUAAAAAAAUAGAAAAUUUUCCAUGAUAUAUUAGGAAAUUGACAAUAGCAAUAAAGUAGUCUAAAUUUCCACAUUUUCAUAAAAAAUAAAGAAAUUACCAAGAAACUAAAAAAAUAGCACUAUUAAAAGUAAGAAUUGCACAUAUAAAAGAAGAAUAUUGGGUAUUUAAAGAAAUCAUAAUCCACUGAAAAAAAUUAAUUCCUAUAAAUAAAUCAAUGUUUGCAAUAAACCAUUAAAAAAUAAAAAUAUUUUUUUCACGGAAGAUUAAAAACUCUCCACAAAAAAAGACAAUAAAAAAUAAUAAAAACAUAUUGAUGUUUCCAUGGAAAAUAUAACAAAGCAAAAUACUAAAAAGUUGGAUCACAUAUCCAUAGUAUUGAAGAUUCUCUUUUCAAAAUCUGUUCUAAAGGUCUUGAUUUUUUUUAAUAAAAUAGUACAAACUCGUCUUAUGACAAGUGAAGACAUUCCACAAAAAAGCUCAGAAUAAUUUUCUUACCAGACUGAAUAUAAUCAAGCAGUCAUUGCAGCAGACACUUGUACGUGAAAUUGAGAUUGUUAACAAAUAGCAACCAAAAAACUAGGGUAGAAUGACCAAAACUGGUCCCCCUAGAAGCGGAAUUUUUCACUUUCUGCCAUAAGGCGAGGAAAUUUCCAACAUAUAAUUUGAAUUGCCAUUUGAAAAUCUAAGCAAAUUUGACCUAUAGUAGACCCCCUUGCUUCCCUAUAGUCGACACUCCAUUUGAUUUUCGUGUUCCAUUUCGGGAUGUUCUUCUUUCUUGUUAUAGAUCCCCCUAAGCAUUCCUGUUAUAGACACUCUCAUGUUUUUUUCACCAAAUUGUAAAAAAAAUAUUUGGUGCAUUCGAAAAUGGCAUUUCAAAUAGAUCAAAUUAUUAGAAUAUAAGUUAAAUUCUCCCGAUGGAAUUUCCUAGAAAAAUGUUUAUAUUAUGAUGUAAUAAUGCAGAUAUGGCUGAAGGGUCCACUAUUGGAUAGGGGUUCCCUAUUGGCAAUUAUGCCCUAGCAUUUGUGAAGGUCAAGUAUUAUUUUGAAGAAGCAUUACAUUACAUAUAUGCAUAUUGCAAGUGAUUAGGCAAUUAAUUUAUUGUGCAUAAUCUAUUUUUAUUCCCCU
RNA transcript from Armigeres subalbatus, 3759 nucleotides. RefSeq lists it as uncharacterized. The transcript has 3 exons. The record is from RefSeq and is a predicted model, not a curated record. Lineage: Eukaryota; Metazoa; Arthropoda; Insecta; Diptera; Culicidae.